GAUAGUGAACCAGUACCGUGAGGGAAAGGCGAAAAGAACCCCGGCGAGGGGAGUGAAAAAGAACCUGAAACCGUGUACGUACAAGCAGUGGGAGCCUCUUUUAUGGGGUGACUGCGUACCUUUUGUAUAAUGGGUCAGCGACUUAUAUUCUGUAGCAAGGUUAACCGAAUAGGGGAGCCGAAGGGAAACCGAGUCUUAACUGGGCGUUAAGUUGCAGGGUAUAGACCCGAAACCCGGUGAUCUAGCCAUGGGCAGGUUGAAGGUUGGGUAACACUAACUGGAGGACCGAACCGACUAAUGUUGAAAAAUUAGCGGAUGACUUGUGGCUGGGGGUGAAAGGCCAAUCAAACCGGGAGAUAGCUGGUUCUCCCCGAAAGCUAUUUAGGUAGCGCCUCGUGAAUUCAUCUCCGGGGGUAGAGCACUGUUUCGGCAAGGGGGUCAUCCCGACUUACCAACCCGAUGCAAACUGCGAAUACCGGAGAAUGUUAUCACGGGAGACACACGGCGGGUGCUAACGUCCGUCGUGAAGAGGGAAACAACCCAGACCGCCAGCUAAGGUCCCAAAGUCAUGGUUAAGUGGGAAACGAUGUGGGAAGGCCCAGACAGCCAGGAUGUUGGCUUAGAAGCAGCCAUCAUUUAAAGAAAGCGUAAUAGCUCACUGGUCGAGUCGGCCUGCGCGGAAGAUGUAACGGGGCUAAACCAUGCACCGAAGCUGCGGCAGCGACGCUUAUGCGUUGUUGGGUAGGGGAGCGUUCUGUAAGCCUGUGAAGGUGUACUGUGAGGUAUGCUGGAGGUAUCAGAAGUGCGAAUGCUGACAUAAGUAACGAUAAAGCGGGUGAAAAGCCCGCUCGCCGGAAGACCAAGGGUUCCUGUCCAACGUUAAUCGGGGCAGGGUGAGUCGACCCCUAAGGCGAGGCCGAAAGGCGUAGUCGAUGGGAAACAGGUUAAUAUUCCUGUACUUGGUGUUACUGCGAAGGGGGGACGGAGAAGGCUAUGUUGGCCGGGCGACGGUUGUCCCGGUUUAAGCGUGUAGGCUGGUUUUCCAGGCAAAUCCGGAAAAUCAAGGCUGAGGCGUGAUGACGAGGCACUACGGUGCUGAAGC
This 1102-nucleotide ribosomal RNA is filed under the name Escherichia coli. Its description in RNAcentral is "partial 23S ribosomal RNA". It matches the Rfam family "Bacterial large subunit ribosomal RNA", at positions 486 to 1591 of the family's 2925-position model. Lineage: Bacteria; Pseudomonadati; Pseudomonadota; Gammaproteobacteria; Enterobacterales; Enterobacteriaceae. The record is from RNAcentral.